AUCUCCACAAGUUUUGUGAUAGAGCCUCGCUCAGCUGGACUUCCUCACGCUGAUUUACCCGGCAAGUAAAGCUUACUGACAUGAGAACACUGAAUCGCACACAGACAGUGUUUGCCAAGACAGCAUAGCAAGGGGCAUGAUUUCCCCACUGUCAUCGAGGUUAGCUUAAUAAUUAAUACAGGUGCCAGAUGAUACUGAACAAAAGUUAGCCCAACCUACGACAGUUAGCCACUGCACACAGCUCUGUGGCAGAAAAUGGUCGUGGAGAUUCAGCUCUUCACUAUUUACUACUACGCACAGCCCAUGCGUCCACCCCUUUGGAGGACCAAGUGUUCCUGUAGCGAAGCCUAGAAUUAACGUGUUUUACCACGGGCCACUUCAAGCCUUUGCUUCUGCAGGUCUAUUAGUCGAACAAUUUCCCGUCCACAACUACCAAAGAUGUGUGCUGCACAGACCUCGGGCACACGAGCACAGGUUUACAAACUUCCAAAGCAGCAAUUUGCUUAAAGAGUGGAAGGAGAGCAAAUUUCCCUCCGAACAAGCGGUCGCUGUUGGCAAAGACACAGACAGCCGUCCGCGGAGCUCAGCCCGGCACUCACCCGGCCAGGGGCUGCCAGGACAUCGCAGUGCCAGCGGACAGAACGACAUCGCCUCCGCGACGGUCCGCGCUCGCAACGCUCCCCCGCCUGCAGCCACCCCAGGAAGCGCCUCCCUCGGGCAGGAGGGGCGGAGGGACGGCCGAGCUCUUGCAGAAAUUCAAAGUACAGCACAGUUUUGCGCUGACAAGAAACAACCCACAAGAGUGGUGAAGCAGAGGAUUUUUACAUAGUCUGAGAAACAUGAGUGGCUCCAAAGAAGAUUGAUGGCAGUGGGAAGAAGAAAGGGUCUGCGACUAACUGAGGAAGGAAGAGGACAAGGAGAAAUAUAGCAGCCAGGGCAAAAUGGAAGAGAUGAGGAAAAGGCUCUGGCUGAGAAAAUUGGUGAGUCAGGGUGCGCAGCAGGGGAGGGGGAGGGAGAUCAGAGAGAAGUAGGGAAGGUGAAGGAAAGGAAAAAAAGGGACUAAAGAAGAAGGAAAAUAUAAGGUUAGUGAGAUGCCUUAAAGGAAUUCAGAAAAAAUGUGGGUUGGUUAAACAUUGAUGAUGAGCAGCUGAUGGAAAAUGAUCCUUUAAUCAGGCUUUAUGCUUUGCGAGAUCAAUGAACUAAACCAACAAUAAACAGGAGGUUGAAUUACUCUGUGUUUACA
RNAcentral lists this long non-coding RNA (1243 nucleotides) under Coturnix japonica (Japanese quail). Its description in RNAcentral is "lncRNA (ENSCJPG00005005805.1)". Lineage: Eukaryota; Metazoa; Chordata; Aves; Galliformes; Phasianidae. The record is from RNAcentral.